UGGGGAAUAUUGCACAAUGGGCGCAAGCCUGAUGCAGCCAUGCCGCGUGUGUGAAGAAGGCCUUCGGGUUGUAAAGCACUUUCAGCGAGGAGGAAGGUGGUGAACUUAAUACGUUCAUCAAUUGACGUUACUCGCAGAAGAAGCACCGGCUAACUCCGUGCCAGCAGCCGCGGUAAUACGGAGGGUGCAAGCGUUAAUCGGAAUUACUGGGCGUAAAGCGCACGCAGGCGGUUUGUUAAGUCAGAUGUGAAAUCCCCGGGCUCAACCUGGGAACUGCAUUUGAAACUGGCAAGCUAGAGUCUCGUAGAGGGGGGUAGAAUUCCAGGUGUAGCGGUGAAAUGCGUAGAGAUCUGGAGGAAUACCGGUGGCGAAGGCGGCCCCCUGGACGAAGACUGACGCUCAGGUGCGAAAAGCGUGGGGAGCAAACAGGAUUAGAUACCCCUGGUAGUCCACGCUGUAAAACGAUGUCGAUUUUGGAGGUUGUGCCCUUGAGGCGUGGCUUCCGGAGCUAACGCGUUAAAUCGACCGCCUGGGGAGUACGGCCGCAAGGUUAAAACUU
RNAcentral lists this ribosomal RNA (559 nucleotides) under uncultured bacterium. Its description in RNAcentral is "partial 16S ribosomal RNA". It matches the Rfam family "Bacterial small subunit ribosomal RNA", at positions 355 to 902 of the family's 1533-position model. The record is from RNAcentral.